GAUGAACGCUAGCUACAGGCUUAACACAUGCAAGUCGAGGGGAAACGACAUCGAAAGCUUGCUUUUGGUGGGCGUCGACCGGCGCACGGGUGAGUAACGCGUAUCCAACCUGCCCACCACUUGGGGAUAACCUUGCGAAAGUAAGACUAAUACCCAAUGAUAUCCCACGAAGGCAUCGGAAUGGGGAUUAAAGAUUUAUCGGUGAUGGAUGGGGAUGCGUCUGAUUAGCUUGUUGGCGGGGUAACGGCCCACCAAGGCUACGAUCAGUAGGGGUUCUGAGAGGAAGGUCCCCCACAUUGGAACUGAGACACGGUCCAAACUCCUACGGGAGGCAGCAGUGAGGAAUAUUGGUCAAUGGGCGAGAGCCUGAACCAGCCAAGUAGCGUGCAGGACGACGGCCCUAUGGGUUGUAAACUGCUUUUAUAAGGGAAUAAAGUGGGUCACGUGUGACUUUUUGCAUGUACCUUAUGAAUAAGGACCGGCUAAUUCCGUG
RNAcentral lists this ribosomal RNA (493 nucleotides) under uncultured bacterium. RNAcentral describes it as "bacterial SSU rRNA". It matches the Rfam family "Bacterial small subunit ribosomal RNA", at positions 28 to 507 of the family's 1533-position model. The record is from RNAcentral.